GCAGUGCCAUAUCUGGCCUGGAGUUGGGACCAUAUGCUCUGUGCAGUGUCAGAGUACUGCACAGAUUCAGCAAUUGCAGGGGAAAUGGAAGCAGUCAACCAAGAAAUCACCAUGUUGUUGCACCUAUCCCACAACCUCUGUUGAGCCACAUUGGUGGUAGGUCGGGAGUAUGUGCCUUCAACAAAACAGAUUUUGUUUUUG
RNAcentral lists this long non-coding RNA (201 nucleotides) under Nicotiana benthamiana. RNAcentral describes it as "long non-coding RNA (NBEN_LNC005835)". The record is from RNAcentral. Lineage: Eukaryota; Viridiplantae; Streptophyta; Magnoliopsida; Solanales; Solanaceae.